GUCCACACCGUAACGAUGCAUACUAGAGGUAAGCGGAUUCAACCCCUUUGUCUCGAAGUUAACACGAUAAGUAUGCCGCCUGGGGAGUACGCUCGCAAGGGUGAAACUCAAAGAAUUGACGGGGCCCGCACAAGCAGUGGAGCAUGUGGUUUAAUUCGAUGCAACGCGAAGAACCUUACCUGGGCUUGAACUGUAGGGGAAGACAACAGAAAACGUUGUCGCCGCAAGGCCGCUACAGAGGUGCUGCAUGGCUGUCGU
RNAcentral lists this ribosomal RNA (258 nucleotides) under uncultured bacterium. RNAcentral describes it as "partial 16S ribosomal RNA". It matches the Rfam family "Bacterial small subunit ribosomal RNA", at positions 793 to 1055 of the family's 1533-position model. The record is from RNAcentral.